GGUGGUAUAGCUCAGUGGUAGAGCACUUACCUAGCAUGCAUGAGGCCUUGGGUUCAGCCCCCAGCACCA
This 69-nucleotide transfer RNA is filed under the name Heterocephalus glaber (naked mole-rat). It matches the Rfam family "tRNA". From Rfam's summary of the family: Transfer RNA (tRNA) molecules are approximately 80 nucleotides in length. Lineage: Eukaryota; Metazoa; Chordata; Mammalia; Rodentia; Bathyergidae. The record is from Rfam by way of RNAcentral.